RNAcentral lists this ribosomal RNA (82 nucleotides) under Bacillus cereus. RNAcentral's name for it is "partial 16S ribosomal RNA". It matches the Rfam family "Bacterial small subunit ribosomal RNA", at positions 1 to 81 of the family's 1533-position model. Lineage: Bacteria; Bacillati; Bacillota; Bacilli; Caryophanales; Bacillaceae. The record is from RNAcentral.
UUUAUUGGAGAGUUUGAUCCUGGCUCAGGAUGAACGCUGGCGGCGUGCCUAAUACAUGCAAGUCGAGCGAAUGGAUUGAGAG